Daucus carota subsp. sativus is the source of this 1901-nucleotide long non-coding RNA. RefSeq lists it as uncharacterized. The record is from RefSeq and is a predicted model, not a curated record. Lineage: Eukaryota; Viridiplantae; Streptophyta; Magnoliopsida; Apiales; Apiaceae. The transcript is spliced from 3 exons.
CAAAAACGUUGCCUUAGAUGCUUAAAAUUUGAUUGAAGUGGGUGUAUACCAACAUCAUAUAGCGGUGUUGCCAUUGAUACGAAAACUGUUGCCUUAACCACAAAAAAAUCUCGAUGCCAACAUCUUGCCAACAUCUUGUGCGAUGUUGCCUUAGAGAAGAACUCAAAUAAAGGAGGGAAACACCCCGCUUUGUUUUGAUAGUCAAAUUUUUAAACAAAAUUCAGCAACCGCCUCAGACAAAACGUGUUAUUCCUUAGACAAUUAAAACAUAAAUCAAAAACAUCUCUCAAAUAAACACACCUCCCUCCCUCGAACUCACUCUCUCUCAGACAAAAACACCUCCCUCCCUCGAACUCUCGAUCUCUCGCUCUCUCUCUCUCUCUUCUGCAUCUCUUACUCUCUAUCCCGCAUCUCUCACUCAAUCUCUCCCGUAUACCUCUCUUCCGAAUCUUCCCCAUCUCGCUCUUUCAUCUCUUUCUCUCAUCUCGUUCUCAUAUCUCUCAUCUCUCGAAUCUAGAAUCUGCGAAAAUUUGGGAAAGGGUUGGUCCGACGACUUUAUAGAAGGAGCUCAGUUGCUUUUCUCUCGUAAGUUUAAUUUGGUCGAACUCUAACUAUAAGGUAUCUCUCUGAGUUCAUCUUGUUGAUUUGGGGGUUUUAAAACCCUAAUUUUUAAAUUGUUAAUUUAGGGUUUCUUUAAUUGGGGUUUAAUUGGGAGUUGAUUAGGGUUAAAUUUGCAAGUCAAUUGAAAAACUCUUGGGGUGUGUUUGCUUAUCUGCAUUUUCCAAGUUUGUAUGUGCAUUUCUGAAUUCUUACUAUUUGUUUAUGGUUUUUUGUUUAUACUGGAGGAAUAAUGUAUAUAAACUUGUUAAAAGUGCUUGAGAUUUGCAAGUGUAUUUUCAAGUGAAUUAGUUUUCGUGUAUUCCUGGAGAAUGUAUAUGCCCCUGUAAUGUGUACUUUUUCUUGAGUUUUAGUUUUUAUUCUAGUAGUAAUGUGUGGAGAAUCACAAUGACCCUGGACAUAUGAAUUGCAGACGGGUUAACAUGGAAUUUCAAGUGCAAAAUAACAUGUAUUGUAUUUGUAUUAAUUUACCAUCCGGCAUACUUCAGGGGAAGCUUUAUCAGCCUAUUAAGCUUGAUGAUAGUAUAUGGAGCGUGGGUAAGUUUCUGAUGGAUUUUGAUUGCUAACACACUUUCACAUGUCAUUUACGAUGUUAUUGUUUAUAUUUUUAAUGCACUUGAGUUCCUGUGUCUUAACAUAGGACGUGAGCGUGGACACUAACAAUUCAUUUUAGGCCAAAUUCAAUCAAAAUUUCUGAAAAUAUAGGACCAGAAGUGUAACUCUGUACUUCUUUUCAAGCAGGACAAAAUGCAAUGGUGGAAGUACUUGGUGAAAGGCAAUCCUGAAGUUGAUACCCAAAAGGUAGAGCCUGAGAGGAACAAACUAUCUGAUCUAGAUGGAGAAAUACGGUAAACUGUGGAGAAAAUGAUGGUGAUUUAAUCCUCGAAACUUGGAAUGGAUGAGGGAAUCAAAAUGUAAGCUUGCCGCAACGGCAACAUUUCUGCUCACCUCGUCCAGCUUCCAGCACAAGCCCUUCUAGUGAUGCAAACUUGAAUUAUAGGGCCACAUUGUCAAGAUCAUUCUCGAUUCCAAUAACCAAUAUACUUUGAUUUAUAGAAUUUGAGUGUUGUGGAAAAUUUUUAGUAUAUAUGGAACUUUAGUAAUUUGUGGUAGAAUUCUAGUAUUAUUUGAGGAAUUUUAGUAAUUUGUGAUAAAAUUAUGUGUAAUAGGUAUUGUGGAGUUUGGAUUUAACUAUGUUAUGGUAUGUAGGUUUAGUUAAUAUUGUUUGGUGUUUGGAGUUAGGUUUUGGAAUGGAUGAUUGGUUUUGGUUAUUAUAUAUACAA